GACGGUAUAGCUCAAGUGGUAGAGCGUGUGCUUAGCAUGCAUGAGGUCCUGGGUUCAAUCCCCAGUACCUCCU
RNAcentral lists this transfer RNA (73 nucleotides) under Camelus bactrianus (Bactrian camel). It matches the Rfam family "tRNA". Rfam says of the family: Transfer RNA (tRNA) molecules are approximately 80 nucleotides in length. Their secondary structure includes four short double-helical elements and three loops (D, anti-codon, and T loops). The record is from Rfam by way of RNAcentral. Lineage: Eukaryota; Metazoa; Chordata; Mammalia; Artiodactyla; Camelidae. RNAcentral also lists the same sequence under 2 other names.